GUGGUCAGGUCGAUGGUUAUUGGGCGGCGGGUUGCAGGCUCGCCUGGCACUAACGGAGGAGGGACUGUCAGAGGUGCGUGCCAUCUUGCCCAAG
RNAcentral lists this transfer RNA (94 nucleotides) under Pseudomonas fluorescens. RNAcentral's name for it is "tRNA-Cys". Lineage: Bacteria; Pseudomonadati; Pseudomonadota; Gammaproteobacteria; Pseudomonadales; Pseudomonadaceae. The record is from RNAcentral.